RNAcentral lists this long non-coding RNA (8275 nucleotides) under Sus scrofa (pig). RNAcentral describes it as "lncRNA (ENSSSCG00050071470.1)". Lineage: Eukaryota; Metazoa; Chordata; Mammalia; Artiodactyla; Suidae. The record is from RNAcentral.
ACAUUUUAUUGGUUUAUUUUGAACUUGUAGUUGGAGGAUAACAUGCAUACAGGGGAGUGCAUAUGCUUAGCUGCCUUUUAACCUGCAGAUGUCUUCUGCUUGUUGAACAGUUUCAUGGAGAGUUGGUUUGUCCUUCUUUUUGUACCUUAAUGGAUCAUAAUGUUUAUUUCUGGGCCGUCUUAAAUGAAGCUGCCGCUAAAGGAAGCAAGAGGGCCAAUGUUAAUACUAAAAGAACAUGAAAAAGGAAACCUAGGACCUGCUGAAAGUACGACAUGUUAGGUUUUUGUGUUGUACUUGAUAUUGGGAGGGCUUAAUUUUUUUUUUUUUUCUUUUCCUUUUUAUGGCCAUACCUAUGGCGUAUGGAAGUUCCUGGGCUAGGGGUUGAACAGAACUGCAGCUGUCGGCCUACUCCACAGCCACAGCCAUGUCAGAUCCGAGCCACAUAUGCCACGUAUGGUGCAGCUUGUGGCAACCCCAGAUCCUAAACCCACUGGGCGAGGCCAGGGAUCAAACCUGAGUCCUCAGGGACAUUGUGUCAGGUUCUCAACCCUCUGAGCCACAAUCGGAACUCCAGGUCUUAACUUUUGAUUGCAAGGUAGGAAUCCUAUGCACUUGAAACUUUCCUUGAGAGGUGUCUUUGGAUUGAGCUUAACUCAUGCAAGGUAGGAGUAAUUUGCUGCUGCUGCCACCUCUGGAAACUGUUUUAAAGGGUUAUCUCAUUUCACUGAAGCUCUGAGAGUCUGUCCGUGGAUGUCUGUCUCCCCUGCCCCCACCUCCAUUGGAUCUAGAUGGGAAAUGGGUGUAAACCUGAAAAUGUACACAACCUUAUUAAAGCAGCUUUGCUAAAUUAAUUGCAGCAGAGUCUUUGGGGUGUCCUUUUGUGGUGCUGCAGAUUGUUUCAAGAACCUUGGAUAUUUUGCCAAGUGUAUCACCUCAAUAAUCUAAAACGUUAACAAGUGAAACACUGUUCUGUGUCUUCACUGGCUUUGAGGUAUGUCAUGAUAGUUUAGCAAUCCACUUAGCCAUCAAACUCCUGCUUUGAGUUGUCCACACAAUCCUUUUAGUCUGUUUUUAGAUUUAUUAAGUGCUUCUCAUGUAUUUGAUGAAAAUGCUUUCGUUUAAGAAAUUGUUUCCACAUGACCCCAGAGGCCUCCCGUUGUAGUUUAACAGUAGUUGAGAUGUAGUAUUGUUUGUCUGGAACUGCAAAGUAGAGUCAAUGCUGGCAUAUCGGGGCACUCUAGGCUUAGAGCUGGGGGGCCCUCGGCGUGGUAAUUUAAUCUGUUCGUUGUAUGGUUUCGAUGCCCAGAGAGUUUCAACAACUUAUCCAGGCUGAUGACUCCACUGGUCAGGCAGCAUAGAUAGAUUCUGACUCCUAGGUCCUUUUCUCUUGCCUACGUUAGACUGACCCUGGAAUACCUGAAGAUGUUGAGAUCUUUGCCAGAGAAUUGGCUUUGCAUGAGAGCUGCAAAGGAAGAGGUACUAUGUUUGGUUUAAUCUUUCAAAGAGAAGUUUAUGGCCUUUUUAAAAUUUUUUUUCUUCUUAGGGUUGCAAAGAAGGCAGUGUUAAAGAAAGAAGAGAGCCAGAAAUGCCAUCUUGCUUUUAAAAAUGAGGAGAAAGAUGGGCUAUCUUGGCACUACCUUUGUCAGUUACACAUUCUGCAGCAGGUGCAUAUCAAAGAUGGAGCGGCAGCCCGGAGCCUUGGCAGCCUCUGGACCCCUCAUUUUCUUUUAUCUGUCAUGUCUAUCAGGACUCAUGGUUUUUGUUUCCUAACUAUUUCUCAACUCUCUUUGUGCUGGACUAUUUCUACCCAUUGAAUGUGUGUAUCAACCUUUUCUGCUGAUUAAGGAAGUUCUGCAAGGAAACAGAUUCUUUUUAUAUUCGUUUCCAGGAUCCCCUAUUAUAUUAAAGUUAGUUGGUUCUUUAAAAUACAGAAUGAUAGACAGAUACCUUUAAUUUUAACUUGCUUGCCCCUUCUUAGGUCUAUUCCCUUUUCUUUCAUACUCUGCUUAGAGACUCCGUGUGUUAGGUAGGCUGAGUGAACAUGCUUUUGGAAGAAAACUGGUUUUCACAGUCACUUUCUGUCUCAUGUCAGUGAUGGAGCCACUUAUGAAGCUCCCUCUAGAGGUGGAUUUGCUGUGCUGUGUAGCACACAGUAGUCUUGGCUUUAGCGUAGUGAACACUCCUGGUACUGACUUUCUCAGGUGGUCUCCAAAGGUUCAAGACAUGUGAUGAAAUGAGUCCCCAGUUAGGGUCGUGUCUUGGGUGGGCUGUGUGGGGAGCAGGGACUUCACUCAUGUGAACCAGCCACAGCCUUCUGCUCCUGGAUGGCUUUGUUUUAAGCACCUACUCCUCUCAAAGUAACACCUGUUUAUUUCUUUGUGAAAAUAGCCCAGAAAAGAAAAAAGGCCACCUGUGAAUGCCGUCGAUUUGUAAACUUGGGGACUGAUGAAAAUCUUGCUAUGGAGCCCUUCACUUAUUAAUGUCAGUGUGCUCAGUGUUCGGUCCAUGCACCAUCAGUCCUUUGCCUAUCGAUUUCAACUUUGUAGGAAGCAGAACAGUGGUUUUCGGCUCCGGCUGCUGCUCUUUGGGAAUCAUGUUGGAUUCUGUAGACCUGGCAUUGAGCCCGUACAUCUGUAGAGUUAAAAGCUCCCUAGGUGAUUCUGAUGUACAGCCAUGGUGAAAGCCCAUUGAAACAGACUUGAGCAGGCACAUCAAAGAGUUCAGGGAAAGUGCACGGCCACUUGGAGUCAGGCCGCAGGAACAGGUAACGAGGCUGUUUUCACUGAGAGCCAGAGGGCCGUUUCGAUUUUGGAAGCCCAAAGGAACUGGCCACGCUGGGGGCCAGGAGAAAUUAAGCUCUCAGGGAUUUGGCUCUGUAUGGGCUCCUCCUCCCCAUUCCCCUCUGACUUGACAGACUUUGACCUUCUCCUGAAAUAGCUGUGAAUCAGAGUCUAUGCCACUGAAGAAGAAGAAUAUAUGGUGCUAUUAGAAAAGCCCUUUCUCCACUCUGUUGCUGGAAAGGAAGAACCAGGGCAGGGUGUUUUCUCAAAUUUUAAUCCCUACUGCCCCCCUUCAGAUAAUAAAAAUGAUCAAAUAAACUGAAAUCCCCUCUUACCCCAUCCUUGGAAAUGUACUUCGUUCAUUAGCAUAUCAAAGGCUGGGAAAAUCCUGUGGUUCUCUCUCACACACACACACACACACACACACAUCUCGAAACUUUGAGUUGAGCAAACUUACUUGCAUAGGAAGAGGCUUUAUGCUUCUGUACCUACAACUGAGCAUUUCUUUCCUUAACAGCAGUUUGGGAAAGACUGGCCAAGUCACUUUUUGAUUCAGUAAUUUUCUGAGGGUUAAUUUCUGACAGCUGAACCUCUUUUUAAACUCCUCUUUGAAGUUGGACUGAAUUAACAAAUGGAAGGCUUGGCAAAGCAGUUUACUAAUUCAUAACUAUAUCCCUCUGCUUUCUUUGUGUUGCUAAGUACUAUAAUCUUUGACCUGAAAGGAAGAAUACUACUAACAAGUAAAUAUUUAAAAGGCCCCAUGAAGUAUAAUGUUAUAAUAUGCAUGAGUUUGUGCCUGGGGAGCCUGUCUGCUGGAUGAAAGCAAUGACUCACUUUUCAUCUCCUAAAUAGGCUGUUGUUUUACAGUAGGUUGAAAGGAAGUAUUUUAAGUGCCAAGAGUUAGAUUUCUUUUUCUUUUUAGAUUUAGUUGGCCAUUGGCUUCACCGAUUUGAAGGUGGCGUGUGAGUCAAAACUGCUGAGUGUGCCGGUCCUCUCUGUACGAGUUACGGUGAAUGAAUGAACUCUGUGCUCCUAAAGGCCACUUGGAACAGCGUGUGGAAACGGAAACAUGACUCACUGACAGGCUUGGAGAGCAUCAAGGGGGAUUCACUAACUUCAGAGCCAGACCCGAGGCGUGGUGAAGCAGGGAGAACCCAGAGGGGAUAGGAGACCAGGGUUCUGGUCCCAGCAGUGCCCAGUUGACUGCUUCGAAUGACAGUGGCCAGAUCACCAGACCUCUCUACUUUCUUUCUGUCCAUAAUGGGAAGUGUAAAUUAUUUGUUGCUAGGAUCAUUUCCAGCUUCCAGACUUAAUGAGUCUGAAUUCUACGGAUUUUCUGGUUUGUGUGGAAGUGGGUGUGGAUGUUUUUAAUGGUUUUCAGAUGGGACUCAUCAAGGCUCCAUGAAACAAACCUUUAUUUUUAAAAUGUGAAGUGAAUUGCUGUGACAGCGUAUGACUAGGGAGUUCAUGACAGAAAAUGAGGAAGCGAAUAAACUUUGAUUUACAAGGCUGCGGGCAGCUGGUUUCCUGAGGCUGUGGCAUUUGGCACAUAGAAUGAUGCAUAUGUGAUACUCUCAGAUAAAGGUUCAUUAUUAUCUACAGACAAAAGCUUUGAUCUGUCAGGAUUUCUUUUAAAAAGCUGUAAAAUAGCCCCUAGCUACCCUGUUCAAUGUGCCUCACCAUGUUUUAAAAAUAUAUUUAGAACACCCUACUGAAAUAUAUCCACAGACAUUUUCAUUAAGAAAUAGCAUCCUGCAUACCUGACACCCUCCAAGUUCUUGCUACAUGUUUUUUUUGCAUAGUCACUAUUGUAUAAAGCAAUCUUGGAGUUCCUGUUGUGGCUCAGAGGUAAUGAAUCCAGCCAGUAUCCCUGAGGAUGUGGGUUCGAUCCCUGGCCUUGCUCAGUGGGUUGGGGAUCCAGUGAGCUGUGGGUGUAGGUCACAGACGAGGCUUAGAUCUAAGUUGCUGUGGAUGUGGUCAGCAUUGCAGCUCUGAUUCGACUCCUAGCCUCCAUAUACCACAGGUACAGCCCUAAGAAGCAAAAAGCAAAAAAAGAAAAAGAAAAGAAAAAUAAUCUUGUGUUCUAUUAUUUUCAUUUAAUGAUUUUCUUUCAUGUGGGCUAGAUUGUCAGGUACAUUGAAAUGUCAAUGCUAUGUCUGUUAGAAACUACCUAUGUAUUCUUUAAAAGUGAUAAUCCGGCUUAUUUAAUGUUUUUUGGGGGGGCUAGCACAGUAUUUUAAGGGUCAUGAGUAAUUCUCUUUGCCUUUAUUAUGGCCAUGAGGAUACAUUAAUUUUCAUGAAAUAAUUGCACAAAAAAGACCCCCAAAUAUUUUCAAAUGGCAGCUUUCAAGUUAAAUCAUAUUUGAAGUUUUCUGUAAUUUUAUCCCCCUUUUUUUCCUGCUGCCUAAACCAUGGUGUUUGUGUUUUUGAUAAACUCGUAUCAGUAGCCUCUUACCUAUUUUUUUCUGAUUAUCUUUUGCAAAUUCUCCACAAAAAGAUAUUCCUGACAAUGAUUAUUUCCUUAUACAUAUGGGGGGCCUCCUACAGUGCUUAGUGCUUGACUCCUAACCCCACUAGGUGGCGGUAUUAUUGUUUUCAGUGGGGAACCAGGUUCAGAGAGGCUUGCAAUUGAUGACAUUGUCAUUAAGUAUGAGCUGAAAUCAAGAUUGGAAUCCAGCUCCAAAUAUCUGUUCCAGCUUAUCUUGGGGGUGGGGGAGAAAAAUGAUCAAACCUUGCUUCUUACAUGAUCUAUUCAGUAAAUUUUUACUGAACACCCCCAGAGUUAGAAUUUUCUUCUCAAGAAAUUGUGGACAGGAGAAGGGGUAGUGUGGGGGAGACGUCAGUUCCUGGAGGCAAACUAAGAAAUCGCAUAUGCCCAGCUUAUGGGUGCCCUGUGAGUUCUUGGAGGCAUGUGUGUGCACAUGUGCGUGUACAUGUGUGUGUGUGUAAAUAAACAGCCACUUUGGAAGGUCAAAAUGAUGUGCCAGAGGAAGGGGCGCUAAGCUGAGCCUAGAAGGGGGCGGGUUGGACUCUGUCGAGGGGAUCUGAAUUGAAGUCCGAGAAGCUUGGGCUAGAUUAGCAAUGAUGGCUUUUGGGCAGCAUUUGACAAGCUCAGGGCAGAUGUGGCAGGGUGCAGAGGCAACGUGAAGCACACCUGGAUCGAGCCGAGCUGGAAGCUGCUGGAAUUUUCCUUAGGGGUGGAAGUGAGAAAGGUAGAGGGACAACUUGACUUUCAUUUAAGGGAGGUUAUCCUUAAGUUUGGGUAUGAAGCUUGGAUCCAGUGCUGCUGUGGCUGUGGUGCAGGCCGGCAGCUGCAGCUCCAAAUUGACCCUUAGCCUGGGAACAUCCAUAAGUGCGACCCUAAAAAGACCAAAAAAAAAAAAAAAAGUUAGAAUUGGAAAAAUGGCAGGCUUCUUCAUUUUAUCUUUCCUUUAAAUAUUAUCAGUUGAAACACAGAAGUAAUACUUAACUUAGCUCUAUCUGUAAACAAAAUGUAAACUUUCUCAAAGAUGGGUGGUUCUUAAUCAGGGGUAGGGGCAUACCUUACACAGACCAAAUGUUUGAUGGCCACACACUGCUCGGAGAGACGCAGGAUGGUUCAGGCCCAGCUGAAGCUGUGUUAGUGCCCUGAUUGUCAACCAUGGGUGAACAUCAGAGUCAUCUUUUGUAAAACAUUCUUAUUAUUCCCCUGGGAAUAUUAUCAGCAAAGUAAACUUUAGAAAUGUUGAAACACAUUUUGAGAGUGUGUGAGUGUGUUGGGGGGUGGUGAUGAACAUUUGGAGGUUUAUUUUUUAGCUUUUUAAAAUAACUGUCAUUACUUAUGAGGUAAUAGCUACACCUGUGCUAUUUUUGUAUUAAGUCCUUUAAACCUGUCAGGACUUCACACUUUUCUUCAAACUGUUCAGUGCAUCACAUCAUUUGGGAAGAGAAAUGGGCUUAGCAACUAUGGAAAUGACACAAGUACCAUGUUCCUUAAGAAUUUUUGUCUUUGCAGGUGAGGCUUGUGUGCUUGGUUCUUUUCUCUGAUGGGAGUCUGACCCUCCAUUUCGGUGCCUCCUCCCCUCCCUAUAUAUGCAGCUGCAAUCUUAACCUCCUCCUUCUGCCCUUACCAGCUGGUUCCCCCUGAACUGCUGCUGCUGCUGCUGUAAAUCGCCUACCAAUUACGGAGUACUAAUGAUGUCAGCAUCUCCCCACUUAGUUUUCAGGGUCCCUGGUGUCUUUGUCUUGCUGUGGGUUGAGCACAGGAAUGAGAACUGUGGGCAUUGCUCACUUGGGGGCUUUUUGGAGGCAGCCCUGUCCUGGUUGUCCCAGUGUUUCUGGGAGAAGCCUGGGCGGCUGGCUGGGAGGAGGGAGCAGAAGGCGGAAUCUCUCUAACUAAUGCCUUCACUUGUGCCAGCCAGUCUCCGUCAGCCCACUCCAGCCCUCCAUCAGUGGCAGGGGUCUAAUGUUUGUUUUUUAGAAGUACGUCAUCCUUCUUUGAAGUUCUUUUUGAUGGCGUUUUCUUAGAGAAGCGUGUUAUAGGAACAAAAAUUCUCUGGAUUUAACACAUUCAUUUUGACCCUGGGGACCGAGGGUUUCAAAUUUCUGAAUGUCUUAAGUGUCUCUUAGCCCGCUUGUUUGUUAAUUUCUCCUUAUCAAAUUGAGCUUAUUACUUGACUCUGACAAGUGUGAUGGUACAGUGAUGACUGAAGUUGUCAUCAUCAGAUGGGAUGCCCUGUCUCUAAAACGCCUUUCUAUUUGGAGAUUUUGAUGACUGUAAAAAUUGUUGAGCUGAAUGAAGAGAAGGACAUGUAAAGAUAUUCUUUGUUUCUUCAUGUGUUGCAGGAAGCUGUAAUUUGUCAAGCUUUUUAAGAAAACACUUAUGUGACAAGUGAAAUUUUAAUAGACACAGUAUAUGGGAGAAAAUACAUAAGGCCAUGCCCUUAAGCAAAUUUGCACAUGGAGCGUAGAAGCUUACAGAUCACUUUUUAGACAUCCUGCUGUGUGACAUGUUCCUUUAAUUACCCAAACAAGCUGGUAGGAAAUGGAGCAGAUGAGUCAGUUCAUGAGACCUACCAGGUCCAUGGUACCUUUACCUGCCAUACCUUUGGUUGCAGAGUGAAUGGAAAAAAAUUUAAUAUGAGCUAUUUUGUAAAAAUGACUGUUGAAACGUUAAUUUUAAAAGUGUAAUUUAUGAAGCCUUAACACACAAAACAGUGCUAUGUCUUGUUGAUGACCUCCCUGGUAUGUGAAAAAAGUGUGAAAAAUGUUUGGAAAUGAUACCCACCAAAUUUAGAAUGCUGGUUACCACUCUGAGACUGGGGAGAGCAGGGAAAUUAUUCCGUACCACUUUAUUUUUUAAAAAUUCAAGCAAAUACAGCCAUAUGUUAACUGCUAAAUCUGUGAUUUUCCUCUUUUCCUUGAUGUUUAAAGUCAUUCUGAAUGAAAAUUAAAUAUUGCAUGAUUAAAAUAUUUAUAGCAUAUGUUUAGCAUACAAAUUAUGGAAAAAUAGACUC